RNAcentral lists this ribosomal RNA (321 nucleotides) under uncultured Pseudomonadota bacterium. RNAcentral's name for it is "bacterial SSU rRNA". It matches the Rfam family "Bacterial small subunit ribosomal RNA", at positions 29 to 351 of the family's 1533-position model. The record is from RNAcentral. Lineage: Bacteria; Pseudomonadati; Pseudomonadota.
AUUGAACGCUGGCGGCAUGCCUUACACAUGCAAGUCGAACGGUAACGCGGGGGCAACCCUGGCGACGAGUGGCGAACGGGUGAGUAGCGCAUCGGAACGUGCCCAGUAGUGGGGGAUAGCUCGGCGAAAGCCGGAUUAAUACCGCAUACGACCCACGGGUGAAAGCGGGGGACCGCAAGGCCUCGCGCUAUUGGAGCGGCCGAUGCCCGAUUAGCUAGUUGGUGAGGUAAAGGCUCACCAAGGCGACGAUCGGUAGCUGGUCUGAGAGGACGACCAGCCACACUGGGACUGAGACACGGCCCAGACUCCUACGGGAGGCUG